CCUACGGGAGGCAGCAGUGGGGAAUAUUGGGCAAUGGGCGCAAGCCUGACCCAGCCACGCCGCGUGAGUGAUGAAGGCCUUCGGGUUGUAAAGCUCUGUGGGAAGAGAAGAAAAACUGGUAGCUAAUAUCUGCCAGGUUGACGGUACCUUCUUAGCAAGCACCGGCUAACUCUGUGCCAGCAGCCGCGGUAAGACAGAGGGUGCAAACGUUGCUCGGAUUUACUGGGCGUAAAGCGCAUGUAGGCGGGCGGAUAAGUCGGGUGUGAAAUCCCUGGGCUCAACCUAGGAACUGCAUCCGAAACUGUUCACCUUGAGUAGUGGAGAGGAAAGCGGAAUUCCCGGUGUAGAGGUGAAAUUCGUAGAUAUCGGGAGGAACACCAGUGGCGAAGGCGGCUUUCUGGACACUAACUGACGCUGAGAUGCGAAAGCGUGGGGAGCAAACAGGAUUAGAUACCCUGGUAGUCCACGCUGUAAACGAUGAGUGCUGGGUGUCUUGGGUAUUGACCCCCGAGGCGCCGUAGCUAACGCGUUAAGCACUCCGCCUGGGGAGUACGGUCGCAAGACUAAAACUCAAAUGAAUUGACGG
This 586-nucleotide ribosomal RNA is filed under the name uncultured bacterium. RNAcentral describes it as "bacterial SSU rRNA". It matches the Rfam family "Bacterial small subunit ribosomal RNA", at positions 338 to 916 of the family's 1533-position model. The record is from RNAcentral.